GACGAACGCUGGCGGCGUGCUUAACACAUGCAAGUCGAGCGGUAAGGCCCUUUCGGGGGUACGACGAGCGGCGAACGGGUGAGUAACACGUGGGUGACCUGCCCUCAGCUCUGGGAUAAGCCUGGGAAACCGGGUCUAAUACUGGAUAUGACUCCAUGACGCAUGUUGUGGGGUGGAAAGCCUUGUGCGGCUGAGGAUGGGCCCGCGGCCUAUCAGCUUGUUGGUGGGGUGAGGCCUACCAAGGCGACGACGGGUAGCCGGCCUGAGAGGGCGACCGGCCACACUGGGACUGAGACACGGCCCAGACUCCUACGGGAGGCAGCAGUGGGGAAGUCUUGCGCAAUGGGCGAAAGCCUGACGCAGCGACGCCGCGUGAGGGAUGACGGCC
RNAcentral lists this ribosomal RNA (388 nucleotides) under uncultured bacterium. RNAcentral describes it as "bacterial SSU rRNA". It matches the Rfam family "Bacterial small subunit ribosomal RNA", at positions 28 to 416 of the family's 1533-position model. The record is from RNAcentral.